RNAcentral lists this ribosomal RNA (478 nucleotides) under uncultured organism. RNAcentral's name for it is "partial 16S ribosomal RNA". It matches the Rfam family "Bacterial small subunit ribosomal RNA", at positions 332 to 801 of the family's 1533-position model. The record is from RNAcentral.
UACACUCCUGCGGGAGGCAGCAGUGGGGAAUUUUGGACAAUGGGCGAAAGCCUGAUCCAGCAAUGCCGCGUGAGUGAAGAAGGCCUUCGGGUUGUAAAGCUCUUUUGUCAGGGAAGAAACGGUGAAAGCUAAUAUCUUUUGCUAAUGACGGUACCUGAAGAAUAAGCACCGGCUAACUACAUGCCAGCAGCCGCGGUAAUACGUAGGGUGCAAGCGUUAAUCGGAAUUACUGGGCGUAAAGCGUGCGCAGGCGGUUUUGUAAGUCUGAUGUGAAAUCCCCGGGCUCAACCUGGGAAUUGCAUUGGAGACUGCAAGGCUAGAAUCUGGCAGAGGGGGGUAGAAUUCCACGUGUAGCAGUGAAAUGCGUAGAUAUGUGGAGGAACACCGAUGGCGAAGGCAGCCCCCUGGGUCAAGAUUGACGCUCAUGCACGAAAGCGUGGGGAGCAAACAGGAUUAGAUACCCGGGUAGUCCCAUGAU